GACAGCCCUUCUUAUCGUGGUCGAUAUGCUACUCUUGUUCUGCUACAACCAAUCUGGAAGUACUCUAUUUUUGCAGGAAUGCAACAUUGGCAUGUGAACUUCCAACAGAAUAGCUUUGAAAUUGCUUCGUUCCGAAAAUGCUUCAAAGUAAACCAUCCUCUCGGCGGAUGCUGCUAUCAUCCGGCCUCCACUUUGAUGCCGCCGGAAAUGGCAGCGGCAGGAGGGUGUUCUGAAGCCUCUGGACCCAUCAUGUGUCUGCCCUGAAAUGUGCUGCUGCUGCUGCUGCUGCUUGGAUGGAUGGGCGCCCUUCAAUGUGGCCUGCACUGCAGUUGCUAGCUGCGCAUGCACAUGACCUCAACCAAAGUGAAGCCUGGCAAUGUGUGGUAUUCGAGUACUCAGUGACUCUCAUCUCAGGCACCAAUGCUGGUGAUUAACAAACAGGUUGGAACGAGCUGUGGAGACUGGAGAAACUUCCUGCUGCUUGCCAUGUGAGAAUCAAAGAAGAAAUGACGACAUCUUCCAUCCAGUUGCAAUGCUUCAGUCGCUUAUGGAGGCCUCGUGUAGAAAUUUGGAACAUUAUUAUUUGGUACGGCUGACGGAGGUGUCAAAUUGUUGCGCUACAUUGCAUACCUGAAGUGGCAUGUGAUUACCAAGAGUGCCCUUUCUUAUCUUGGAACAGAAAGUACUUGUUUUAUUUUUUUGGAGGGGAGGGGGAAGAAAAUAUUUUUUUUGACACUGAUGUUUCGUGGCUUGAUGAGGGAACAAGAUAGUGAUCAGUGAGGUAAUCCGUCUCGGCUGUCUCAUGUCCCUGUUUGUUUCAGUUGUGCCAACCAAAACUAUGGUUCUCAUG
Phragmites australis (common reed) is the source of this 850-nucleotide long non-coding RNA. RefSeq lists it as uncharacterized. NCBI's taxonomy places the organism in Eukaryota, Viridiplantae, Streptophyta, Magnoliopsida, Poales, Poaceae. The record is from RefSeq and is a predicted model, not a curated record. The transcript has 3 exons.